RNAcentral lists this unclassified non-coding RNA (296 nucleotides) under rhizosphere metagenome. Its description in RNAcentral is "partial ribosomal RNA internal transcribed spacer region". The record is from RNAcentral.
GUAGGUGAACCUGCGGAAGGAUCAUUAACACUAUAUUUGAACCAAUCUCAACUUACUGGAUUUCAUUUCAGUAUUUUACACCCACCCCCCACACUUGUGAACCUUUGUUUGGAAAAUGCUCAUUUGGUUGACCAUUUCCGCUUUUUUUUUCUUUUCUUUUUUAAACAAGUAAAAAAAAAACCCAAUUGAACUAAUUUGACUGAAAUCUUUGUUUGGUCUGCGAAAGCAAAUCAACACAAAACAAAAAAGAGAAAAACGUGAAAAAACAACUCUUAGCAACGGAUAUCUUGGCUCUC